GACGAACGCUGGCGGCGUGCUUAACACAUGCAAGUCGAACGGUGAACUCCGCUUGCGGGGGGAUCAGUGGCGAACGGGUGAGUAACACGUGGUCAACCUGCCCUCAGCUCUGUGAUAACUCCAAGAAAUUGGGGCUAAUACCGGAUAUGACCGCUGACCGCAUGUUCUGGUGGUGGAAAGAUUUAUCGGCUGGGGAUGGGCCCGCGGCCUAUCAGCUUGUUGGUGGGGUAGUGGCCUACCAAGGCGACGACGGGUAGCCGGCCUGAGAGGGUGACCGGCCAAACUGGGACUGAGACACGGCCCAGACUCCUACGGGAGGCAGCAGUGGGGAAUAUUGCGCAAUGGGCGAAAGCCUGACGCAGCGACGCCGCGUGGGGGAUGACGGCCUUCGGGUUGUAAACCUCUUUCAGCAGGGACGAAGCGAAAGUGACGGUACCUGCAGAAGAAGCACCGGCCAACUACGUG
This 465-nucleotide ribosomal RNA is filed under the name uncultured bacterium. RNAcentral describes it as "partial 16S ribosomal RNA". It matches the Rfam family "Bacterial small subunit ribosomal RNA", at positions 28 to 507 of the family's 1533-position model. The record is from RNAcentral.